CAGGCUUAACACAUGCAAGUCGAGGGGCAGCAUGGUCUUAGCUUGCUAAGGCCGAUGGCGACCGGCGCACGGGUGAGUAACACGUAUCCAAUCUGCCGUCUACUCUUGGACAGCCUUCUGAAAGGAAGAUUAAUACAAGAUGGCAUCAUGAGUCCGCAUGUUCACAUGAUUAAAGGUAUUCCGGUAGACGAUGGGGAUGCGUUCCAUUAGAUAGUAGGCGGGGUAACGGCCCACCUAGUCUUCGAUGGAUAGGGGUUCUGAGAGGAAGGUCCCCCACAUUGGAACUGAGACACGGUCCAAACUCCUACGGGAGGCAGCAGUGAGGAAUAUUGGUCAAUGGGCGAGAGCCUGAACCAGCCAAGUAGCGUGAAGGAUGACUGCCCUAUGGGUUGUAAACUUCUUUUAUAAAGGAAUAAAGUCGGGUAUGCAUACCCGUUUGCAUGUACUUUAUGAAUAAGGAUCGGCUAACUCCGUGCCAGCAGCCGCGGUAAUACGGAGGAUCCGAGCGUUAUCCGGAUUUAUUGGGUUUAAAGGGAGCGUAGAUGGAUGUUUAAGUCAGUUGUGAAAGUUUGCGGCUCAACCGUAAAAUUGCAGUUGGUACUGGAUAUCUUGAGUGCAGUUGAGGCAGGCGGAAUUCGUGGUGUAGCGGUGAAAUGCUUAGAUAUCACGAAGAACUCCGAUUGCGAAGGCAGCCUGCUAAGCUGCAACUGACAUUGAGGCUCGAAAGUGUGGGUAUCAAACAGGAUUAGAUACCCUGGUAGUCCACACGGUAAACGAUGAAUACUCGCUGUUUGCGAUAUACAGCAAGCGGCCAAGCGAAAGCGUUAAGUAUUCCACCUGGGGAGUACGCCGGCAACGGUGAAACUCAAAGGAAUUGACGGGGGCCCGCACAAGCGGAGGAACAUGUGGUUUAAUUCGAUGAUACGCGAGGAACCUUACCCGGGCUUAAAUUGCAGAUGAAUUACGGUGAAAGCCGUAAGCCGCAAGGCAUCUGUGAAGGUGCUGCAUGGUUGUCGUCAGCUCGUGCCGUGAGGUGUCGGCUUAAGUGCCAUAACGAGCGCAACCCUUGUUGUCAGUUACUAACAGGUUCCGCUGAGGACUCUGACAAGACUGCCAUCGUAAGAUGUGAGGAAGGUGGGGAUGACGUCAAAUCAGCACGGCCCUUACGUCCGGGGCUACACACGUGUUACAAUGGGGGGUACAGAGGGCCGCUACCACGCGAGUGGAUGCCAAUCCCAAAAACCUCUCUCAGUUCGGACUGGAGUCUGCAACCCGACUCCACGAAGCUGGAUUCGCUAGUAAUCGCGCAUCAGCCACGGCGCGGUGAAUACGUUCCCGGGCCUUGUACACACCGCCCGUCAAGCCAUGGGAGCCGGGGGUACCUGAAGUGCGUAACCGCGAGGAGCGCCCUAGGGUAAAACUGGUGACUGGGGCUAA
RNAcentral lists this ribosomal RNA (1437 nucleotides) under uncultured organism. Its description in RNAcentral is "16S ribosomal RNA". It matches the Rfam family "Bacterial small subunit ribosomal RNA". The record is from RNAcentral.